Molecule: ribosomal RNA, 406 nt
Filed under: uncultured bacterium
Lineage: Bacteria
Description: partial 16S ribosomal RNA
Rfam family: Bacterial small subunit ribosomal RNA
Source: RNAcentral
AUUGAACGCUGGCGGCAGGCCUAACACAUGCAAGUCGAACGAGUGGCGGACGGGUGAGUAAUGUCUGGGAAACUGCCCGCUGGAGGGGGAUAACUACUGGAAACGGUAGCUAAUACCGCAUACCAUCGGAUGUGCCCAGUUGGGGUUAGCUAUUAGGUGGGGUAACGGCUCACCGAGGCGACGAUCCCUAGCUGGUCUGAGAGGAUGACCAGCCACACUGGAACUGGGAAACGGUCCAGACUCCUACGGGAGGCAGCAGUGGGGAAUAGUGCACAAUGGGCGCAAGCCUGAUGCAGCCAUGCCGCGUGUAUGAAGAGGGCCUUCGGGUUGUAAAGUACUUUCAGCGGGGAGGCGUUACCCGCAGAAGAAGCACCGGCUAACUCCGUGCCAGCAGCCGCGGUAAUAC